This 322-nucleotide ribosomal RNA is filed under the name Methylobacterium sp. Its description in RNAcentral is "bacterial SSU rRNA". It matches the Rfam family "Bacterial small subunit ribosomal RNA", at positions 942 to 1267 of the family's 1533-position model. The record is from RNAcentral. Lineage: Bacteria; Pseudomonadati; Pseudomonadota; Alphaproteobacteria; Hyphomicrobiales; Methylobacteriaceae.
GGGCCWRGUUUUAAYGCGAAAGAACCUUACCAUCCUUUGACAUGGCGUGUUACCCAGAGAGAUUUGGGGUCCCCUUCGGGGGCGCGCACACAGGUGCUGCAUGGCUGUCGUCAGCUCGUGUCGUGAGAUGUUGGGUUAAGUCCCGCAACGAGCGCAACCCACGUCCUUAGUUGCCAUCAUUCAGUUGGGCACUCUAGGGAGACUGCCGGUGAUAAGCCGCGAGGAAGGUGUGGAUGACGUCAAGUCCUCAUGGCCCUUACGGGAUGGGCUACACACGUGCUACAAUGGCGGUGACAGUGGGACGCGAAGGAGCGAUCUGGAG